RNAcentral lists this ribosomal RNA (486 nucleotides) under Brevibacterium sp. CMT175. Its description in RNAcentral is "bacterial SSU rRNA". It matches the Rfam family "Bacterial small subunit ribosomal RNA", at positions 388 to 884 of the family's 1533-position model. The record is from RNAcentral. Lineage: Bacteria; Bacillati; Actinomycetota; Actinomycetes; Micrococcales; Brevibacteriaceae.
GCAGCGACGCMGCGUGCGGGAUGACGGCCUUCGGGUUGUAAACCGCUUUCAGCAGGGAAGAAGCGCAAGUGACGGUACCUGCAGAAGAAGUACCGGCUAACUACGUGCCAGCAGCCGCGGUAAUACGUAGGGUACGAGCGUUGUCCGGAAUUAUUGGGCGUAAAGAGCUCGUAGGUGGUUGGUCACGUCUGCUGUGGAAACGCAACGCUUAACGUUGCGCGUGCAGUGGGUACGGGCUGACUAGAGUGCAGUAGGGGAGUCUGGAAUUCCUGGUGUAGCGGUGAAAUGCGCAGAUAUCAGGAGGAACACCGGUGGCGAAGGCGGGACUCUGGGCUGUAACUGACACUGAGGAGCGAAAGCAUGGGGAGCGAACAGGAUUAGAUACCCUGGUAGUCCAUGCCGUAAACGUUGGGCACUAGGUGUGGGGGGCAUUCCACGUUCUCCGCGCCGUAGCUAACGCAUUAAGUGCCCCGCCUGGGGAGUACG